AUUGUACAUAAUUGUACAUAUUGUAAAAUAUUUGUAUUGACUUCAAGAAAUAAUAAGUGUUUACUGUGUAAUUCGUUGUAUUCAAUAUGUAUUUAUUUUACUAUUGUGUGACCUUUACAUAUUGUCGAAUAAACAAUACUAUAUUAAUUGAGCUCCACUCAGAAUCGUUUUUCGUUAGCAAUUAAAUUCGUUUUCAACCUUUGUCACCACGUAAAUACGAUUUAACAACAAGCAAAACAUUAGUAUCGCUAUUUUAUUAUUUAUGUAACUUAAACACA
Molecule: non-coding RNA, 278 nt
Organism: Cinara cedri
Lineage: Eukaryota; Metazoa; Arthropoda; Insecta; Hemiptera; Aphididae
Source: the annotation of a GenBank genome assembly